UCGAACUCAGAAACCAGCCUGCCUUUGCCUCUGGAGUGCUGGGAUUAAAGGCGUGUGCCACCAUGACCAUGUCAGUUUUUAAGAAUUUCCUUCACCACACUAGAAUUUGACAGAAGAAAUGAAAGACAAAUGAGGUAGAAGAAAGUUGUGGUCUUCAGAAAAGGAUAUUACACAAGAGAAAUUGAUCCCUACAUAUAGAGAGCAGCUAGAGGCGAGCCUGUGGAUUCCCUUCGCGCUUCCUGAAGCCUCCCUGCCCGGCUCUCCUCCCGAGCUUCUCUUAAGUGUGGAUGAAAGGAAAGAUCAGGUAGGUGUGGCUGCAGCACUGACCCCCAUAGUGGACCUUGGACCUCUUCUCCAUCUCGAGAGGAGGUGACCCUUGUAGCUCAGAGGUGACCCCUACAGCCCUACAGCACAGAGUGACCCCUACAGCACAGAGGUGACCCCUUAUAGCUCAGAGGUAUCCCCUACAGCAUAGAGGUGACCCCUACAGCAUAGGGGUGACCCCUACAGCACAGAGAUGACCCCUAUAGCUCAGAGUUGACCCCUACAGCAUAGAGAUGACCCCUAUAGCUCAGAGGUGACCCCUACAGCAUAGAGAUGACCCCUAUAGCUCAGAGGUGACUCCUACAGCAUAGAGAUGACCCCUAUAUCUCAGAGGUAUCCCCUACAGCAUAGAGGCUCCAGGCCUGCCCCUCCUUUCUCUUCCUGAUUAGCCCACACCACACCCUCCUAGGAUAUUUCCUGGGCCAUUAGCCAUUUUUCUUUCCCACAGUCACAGUCCUAGCACUAUGUUCUCCACAGGUAGACCCUGGCAUGCCACCAGCUGUCCCCGCCUGGUGGAGACUGGCCUGGAUUCUGUUUCAGGAGAGCCACCUUCAGGCCUUAAGAGAUUUUGCAGGUUAGAACAGCGUGGCCUCCUAAAAAUUGUUGUGGGGUACCUACCAGAGAAAACUACUCCAACAUGAGUUUAAGUCAAUAAAAAGUCUUAUUUGCCAGAACACUGUAUGUUUCAGAUCCCAGUGUCGCCCCGAGCCUUUAUCAGGGUGCACUUCUAAGCACAAAAACCUAUCCUGAGUUAAUUCAGUUAGGAAGAACAGUUAGCCCGAAGUGGGACUACAGAAGCCGACAAAGCGAAGUUAGACUUUCCCUGCUACGGACUUUGAUGGAUUAGGUCUUUAGUUUUGUUUGCAGGUGGUGCUAAGUACUGAGUUUUAUGGCCUAUAUGGUACCUCCAUCACCAUCAUGGAACUAGUUGUGCUUAGGUCUGGGGCCCAGGAAGGCAUGAGAGCCUGUCACAGAAGUGACUUGGGUGGUGAUCUUUUGCGAGUCAGCCCACCAGCCUCCACCAUUCUCUCUUGGUAAAUUGUUCUGGACGCUUUCUCCUUGAAGCCUGUUGUGGCCUCGGAACUUGACUGGGCUGGCCGGCCCCAGCCCUCGCCGGUGUCCCUGCCGGCAAGGAGCACGAGAGGACUGUACAGAAGAUGACGAAUUCUUUCACUUGUGUUGCCAUGGGGUUGUAAUUCUUUUCAAAGAUGUGAUCUGACAAGGGAACCUGUUUCACAACAGAACAAACAAAAAAGCCAGCUCCUCCCCUCCUUUCUUUGUAUAAAUAUAAACUCCUUGACCAUUCCAGGGUGUGGCUGCGGAUGGAAUGCUUUUACUGUAGAUAUGAAGGGCUAUACAGCUAGGCACAGCGGAGAACUUCUCCUGGAAUCCCGGCUGCUCCUGUAGCUCCCACUGACUCAUGCCGAUUCAGCAGCGGAGGACUGGUGGUUUCUGCUAGAUCCUGCCCUUGCCGCUGAUUCAUGUUUGCUAUCCUGAUGCUACUG
This is a long non-coding RNA of Mus musculus (house mouse), 1829 nucleotides long. RefSeq annotates it as predicted gene, 39490. Lineage: Eukaryota; Metazoa; Chordata; Mammalia; Rodentia; Muridae. The record is from RefSeq and is a predicted model, not a curated record. The transcript has 3 exons.